ACGGGAGGCAGCAGUGGGGGAUGUUGCACAAUGGGGGAAACCCUGAUGCAGCAACGCCGCGUGAGGGAAGACGGUCUUCGGAUUGUAAACCUAAGUUGUCAGGGACGAAUUUUGACGGUACCUGAAGAGAAAGCUCCGGCUAACUACUUGCCAGCAGCCGCGGUAAUACGUAGGGAGCGAGCGUUGUCCGGAUUUACUGGGUGUAAAGGGUGCGUAGGCGGGUCUGCAAGUCAGACGUGAAAUGCCGGGGCUUAACUCAGGAGCUGCGUUUGAAACUGUAGAGCUUGAGUGAAGUAGAGGCAAGCGGAAUUCCUAGUGUGGCGGUGAAAUGCGUAGAUAUUAGGAGGAACACCAGUGGCGAAGGCGGCUUGCUGGGCUUUAACUGACGCUGAGGCACGAAAGCGUGGGGAGCAAACAGGAUUAGAUACCCUGGUA
This 435-nucleotide ribosomal RNA is filed under the name uncultured Oscillospiraceae bacterium. Its description in RNAcentral is "partial 16S ribosomal RNA". It matches the Rfam family "Bacterial small subunit ribosomal RNA", at positions 341 to 792 of the family's 1533-position model. The record is from RNAcentral. Lineage: Bacteria; Bacillati; Bacillota; Clostridia; Eubacteriales; Oscillospiraceae.